Molecule: long non-coding RNA, 1205 nt
Organism: Chenopodium quinoa (quinoa)
Lineage: Eukaryota; Viridiplantae; Streptophyta; Magnoliopsida; Caryophyllales; Amaranthaceae
Exons: 2
Source: RefSeq, a predicted model, not a curated record
UUUAGUUCGAUUUUUGCAAUUUUAUGGCUGCAAUUUUCAGCGGAUUUAUGGUUCGAUUUUAGGGUUCGAAUUUCAGAGAUUUAGUGUUCGAAUUUCAGCAAUAUUAGGUAAUUUCUGCACUAUAAUUGGUUAUUUAUUGUUUUUUUAUUGGUGUGGUGGUGCUCUGGUGGACUGAAAUGGUGGUCUGGCGGUGGUUUAAUUGUUGUUUUGAGGUGCGUGGAUUGGUGGAAGUGGGUUGAUGCGUGUUGCAAGGGUGGUAAACCUAGCUCUAUUGCGUAAAUUGUGGCUGUUUGUGGGUGAUUUUCUUUUUUUGAGAGUAAUAAUUUCUUUUAAGCUUGCGAUUCUAGCUUGUGAAUGCUUUGAGAUGUGUAAGUAAUAUUUUUGGGCUUUUUCUAAGCAUGUACCGUGUAUACAGAUGUUGAUUGUUGAAGACAUACUAGGCUGAUUCUUUUUGGUGGAUGAAUAUUUGGUGAUUCACAACCUUGGGAAAGAGACUGAAAUUAUGUUUCAAAUAGGAAAACACAUGUUUAAAGAAAUUUUUAAUUUUUGCUUCUUAGGAGUAAUAUUCUAUAUCUCAUCCUCCCAAAUUCCUACAAUUCCAUUUUGUCUAUGCUCCAUGUCAGCUGAAGUUGAAAAUAGUGAUCUGAAAAUGUAAAGAAACUAUACUUUAUGAUCUUUUUCACACUAGUGUUUAGUAGCUUGUGUUUCUUGGAAAUUACUUAUCAAUUUACCUUUCUUUUUUCCAAGCACUUACUGUAGUAGUGCCAACUUUGCUAAGAUUUCUUCUUCUUCUUUUUCUUUUUUUCCCUUUUUUUUUUUGUUGUUGUAACUAGGUGCAUAGUCCUGGAGCUGAUAUAGAUACCCUAUGUGUUGGCCCUAGACAUGCUACGCGAGAGGAAGAUUUCUUUGGAGAACUCCACAGUAUGCUUUCUGAGAUGCCUGAGGUUAUAGAGUUGCACCCUGUGCCUAAUGAUUUUGUCCCGAUGAUGAGAAUUAAGUUCAAUGGGGUGUCCAUAGAUCUUUAUACAAAAUUGUUGCAUUUGAGUUGCUACAUGUGAUUGUUUUCCUCUGCUUCUAUGGGAGGGUUUUGAUCUAUAUUAAAAACCUAUUAGCUCAAGUGGUAGAGCUCUAUGCAAAUGCAUAGAUGAUGUAGCUUCGAAUCCUACAUAGGCUAUAUUUAUAAAUAACUAUAUAAAAAAAAACUU